Engraulis encrasicolus (European anchovy) is the source of this 857-nucleotide long non-coding RNA. RefSeq lists it as uncharacterized. The transcript is spliced from 3 exons. NCBI's taxonomy places the organism in Eukaryota, Metazoa, Chordata, Actinopteri, Clupeiformes, Engraulidae. The record is from RefSeq and is a predicted model, not a curated record.
ACACGUUUUUAUAUUAAAUACAACCGCCGAUGACUUAAGAGAUGAGGCAUUUUGUGUUAUCGGUUUUCAUGUUGAUUUCAUAGGUCUGUGACCGUCGGUUUCCGUCUUAUGCGCUGAAACUUCUAUACUCUUUUAACAGGAGCUAAAACACAAACGUCUGUGACACACAACUGUGACAUUUAAUCUUAGUUGCUACCCUCAUACUCAGUAACGGUUGAUUAAGUGUUGUUCUGUGGUUGAAAUUCACUUUCAGAUAUCAAUGCCAAGGGAAUUUCAAUCAAAGAACAACAACACUAGCAAUCCCAGCUAACUGGCCAACGAUAGCUAGCAAAAGCCGGGAGCUAGCUAACUCAGGCAUGGAGCAUCUUCUACCUAUUGGCACAAAGCAGAGCACUAUCUAGCAAUAUCUGUCUGUCACGGAAAGUGUUUGACUCACUGUAAUUCUAGCCUACUACUGAAGCAAUCGAGUGAAUCUGCUUUUUUCUACAUUGUCUUUUCAGAUGUGCUGCUGCUGAAGGCAGUCACCCGGUGGAGGAACUUGUUUUUUGACAGGCAUACUACAGAUGCUGUGCUGCGAACGGACACUGCAGUCACCUGUGGGAGGGGUCAAUCAAAUCGGAUCUCAAAAACAGAUGUCGCGAAUCUGAUCUGAUCUACCUACCUCUAUGUGGCAAUAGAGUACCUGCUUUUACUGGCCAGGGGACCAAGAUGAAAACAAGAGGCCUGUACCCAGACAUCCAAGCACCCAUCAAGUCACCCAGUCCUCCGCCACCUGCCGUGCAGCUAUACCCAUCCAUCAAAUCCAGCCACUUGCCCACCCUAACCAGUCACAGCAUUUGGAGGCAAUAAAGUAUAAU